GAGACAUUGAAAAAGUCUCCAUUGUGCAGUCUUCAGAGAUAUUGUUCCCAAGAAAUGCAGGAUAUCCAAAAUUUCUGCCCCAAGAAAUGUGAAGCAUCAGAGGCACUUACACUUCAGAAAUCUUUUCAGAAUAAGGAAGAUCCUCUUUGUUCCCACGGACUAGUGGAGCUUCAGCCUCUUGACCCUCAAGAGAAAGGAGAUCUACAAAGCCCACCACUUCUGAGAAGUCUGCUGAGGAAAUCUAAGACUCUUGAAGAUGAAGGACAAAUAAGGAGCAAUGUUUUCCAGAUCCAGAAUGUCCAAAGUCCAGAAAGCCCCCAAAAUACACUUGCUCUGAAACAGACAUCAUGGUCAUUUCCACUUCAGGAACUUAAAUGUCAGAAGUCACAUAAGAUCCAGGAGCUAAGUAAGUUAGAAGUUCUUCAGCAUCAGGAGAUAUUAAACGUUGUUGAAGAUACUCAAGAAUACUCAGGAAAUUUUGAUUCCCUCACAGAAGCUCAGAAGAAGGUGGUGAGAACAAAUGAAGCCCAGAAAUCCUUAUUUGAGAUCAAGGACUCCGCUCAGGAACAAAAAGAUGCAUCAUCUCUAGCUUUAAAUGUAUGCUUGUCAGAGAAACUUCCUCCUCAUGAAGUCCCACAGUUUGGGAUUAAACUACUUCAGGAACUAGGGAGGCUGCACAAUGAAUUAGAAGCUCUUAGACCUGGAGAAGCAAAGGAUGAAGAGAUCAAAGAUUUUGGUGAACCUAAAGCAGGCAUGGCAGUCAAAUCCUGGGGAAGCAUGAGUCCCCAUUUCCAUCAGUGGAGAGAUGCACCACAAAGCCAGUUCUCUGAAAUAUGUGAUGUAAUGCAAGGGCAACAGAAGACGCUGCAGUCUCUCCAAAAUGAACAAAAAAUCCAAGGACUUCAUCAGUCCCAAGGAAUAUUGGAAAAGGAAUCAGACAGAAACUUGGAACCAGCAAGACUGGAAGCAUCACACAUAGUCCAACCACAAAAAUGUUUGUCAGAGCCAUCUCUUGCUACUGGCUGUCAUGGUUUUAUCAUUCCCCAUACUCUUCAGUCCCACAAAAAUGUAAAGCAAGACAGUUCUUGCCUUCAGAAAUGCCCACAGAUUAAAGCUAGGAGGAAGCUGGCACAGAAGGCGUCAAGACCCACAAAGACCCAACGACAAUUACAGGGUGCGCUGCAGAGGAAGUCAAAAUGUUUUGAAUAUCAACAGCUGUCAGAAACAGAAUGUGUCCACUGCACCCAGGCAUGGAGACAGGCACAAAAUCUCCAUUCCCAGGAUGAGCAAGUGGACACUCCACAGGUGCUCUCCUCCCAAGAGCUGCUGCCUGACCACUCACUAGCCCUUAUGCCUGAGGGAACUUCCCCAAAGAAUCAAGAAAUCCUUGAGAAGUGGGAAACUGAGGACUCAAGCAGCCUUCUUCCUCAAAAUCAGACGGAACUACAGGUAGCUGCUCAUGUCCAGAUAGAGCAGGUAUGGAAAGACCAAGUGUUUCAAAGAGAGAUGGGGACCCUUUCACCUCAGUGGCUGGAAGCAGCACAUGCUUUUCAAAAUCCAGAAUGGAGAGACACAGAAACAAUGUCAGGUGAAGAGAUGAUACUCUUGGGCCCUGGAAUAUGUCCACUGGACCAGAGAAAUGUUGAGUCUGUAGCCAUGAGCAGGAGUUUGGAAGCAUACCCCUUGGGGGACCAGGAGGGAACUGAAACCUGGAAGUCUAGCUCUGUGACUGCACUCUCUCCACCCAGCCCUGGAAGUCAGACAGAGAAGCUUAUGUCAGCACCAGCAUCUCUCAGUGUGGGUGUGUCUAGGGAGAGCUCUGUCUGUCUGAUCCACCCUGGUGGCAGCUGUGGAUUCUCUUGGACACAGCACCUUCCACAGGAGGAUAAGCAAGCAUAUGGUGAAAGGGCCACAGAUCCAAAACUAUUAGAGAGUGAACAAGGCACAACCUGGCAACAGGUAAGAGUUGGUAUUUUUG
RNAcentral lists this long non-coding RNA (1978 nucleotides) under Salvator merianae (Argentine black and white tegu). RNAcentral describes it as "lncRNA (ENSSMRG00000004907.1)". Lineage: Eukaryota; Metazoa; Chordata; Lepidosauria; Squamata; Teiidae. The record is from RNAcentral.